Molecule: transfer RNA, 85 nt
Filed under: Campylobacteraceae bacterium
Lineage: Bacteria; Pseudomonadati; Campylobacterota; Epsilonproteobacteria; Campylobacterales; Campylobacteraceae
Description: tRNA-Leu
Rfam family: tRNA
About the family: Transfer RNA (tRNA) molecules are approximately 80 nucleotides in length. Their secondary structure includes four short double-helical elements and three loops (D, anti-codon, and T loops). Further hydrogen bonds mediate the characteristic L-shaped molecular structure. tRNAs have two regions of fundamental functional importance: the anti-codon, which is responsible for specific mRNA codon recognition, and the 3' end, to which the tRNAs corresponding amino acid is attached (by aminoacyl-tRNA synthetases). tRNAs cope with the degeneracy of the genetic code in two manners: having more than one tRNA (with a specific anti-codon) for a particular amino acid; and 'wobble' base-pairing, i.e. permitting non-standard base-pairing at the 3rd anti-codon position.
Source: RNAcentral
GCGGAUGUGGUGAAAUUGGUAGACACACCAGACUUAGGAUCUGGCGCCGCAAGGCAUGGGAGUUCGAGUCUCUUCAUCCGCACCA